GAUGAACGCUAGCGGGAGGCUUAAUACAUGCAAGUCGAGGGGUAACAGGGGCUUCGGCCCGCUGACGACCGGCGCACGGGUGAGUAACGCGUACGCAACUUACCUCCAAGCGAGGGAUAGCCCUGGGAAACUGGGAUUAAUACCUCAUGUGAUUAUGAUGCCGCAUGGUGUUAUAAUUAAAGUUCAGGCGCUUGGAGAUGGGCGUGCGUCCUAUUAGCUAGUUGGUGAGGUAACGGCUCACCAAGGCGACGAUAGGUAGGGGCGUGAGAGCGUGGCCCCCACACGGGUACUGAGACACGGACCGACUCCUACGGGAGGCAGCAGUAAGGAAUCUUCCGCAAUGGACGAAAGUCUAACGGAGCAACGCCGCGUGAGUGAUGAAGGUUUUCGGAUCGUAAAACUCUGUUGUUAGGGAAGAACAAGUGCCGUUCGAAAGGGCGGCACCUUGACGGUACCUAACGAGAAAGCCACGGCUAACUACGUGCCAGCAGCCGCGGUUAAAGUCUAGCAUG
RNAcentral lists this ribosomal RNA (512 nucleotides) under uncultured bacterium. RNAcentral's name for it is "bacterial SSU rRNA". It matches the Rfam family "Bacterial small subunit ribosomal RNA", at positions 28 to 533 of the family's 1533-position model. The record is from RNAcentral.